RNAcentral lists this ribosomal RNA (501 nucleotides) under uncultured bacterium. RNAcentral describes it as "partial 16S ribosomal RNA". It matches the Rfam family "Bacterial small subunit ribosomal RNA", at positions 30 to 523 of the family's 1533-position model. The record is from RNAcentral.
AUUGAACGCUGGUGGCAGGCUUAACACAUGCAAGUCGAGCGGGGGAAGGUAGCUUGCUACCGGACCUAGCGGCGGACGGGUGAGUAAUGCUUAGGAAUCUGCCUAUUAGUGGGGGACAACAUCUCGAAAGGGAUGCUAAUACCGCAUACGUCCUACGGGAGAAAGCAGGGGAUCUUCGGACCUUGCGCUAAUAGAUGAGCCUAAGUCGGAUUAGCUAGUUGGUGGGGUAAGGGCCUACCAAGGCGACGAUCUGUAGCGGGUCUGAGAGGAUGAUCCGCCACACUGGGACUGGGACACGGCCCAGACUCCUACGGGAGGCAGCAGUGGGGAAUAUUGGACAAUGGGGGGAACCCUGAUCCAGCCAUGCCGCGUGUGUGAAGAAGGCCUUAUGGUUGUAAAGCACUUUAAGCGAGGAGGAGGCUACUCUAGUUAAUACCUAGGGAUAGUGGACGUUACUCGCAGAAUAAGCACCGGCUAACUCUGUGCCAGCCGCCGCGGUAA